Molecule: long non-coding RNA, 1012 nt
Organism: Brienomyrus brachyistius
Lineage: Eukaryota; Metazoa; Chordata; Actinopteri; Osteoglossiformes; Mormyridae
Exons: 2
Source: RefSeq, a predicted model, not a curated record
AAUCUUCAACGCGCAGUUUCUGCUCCGCAGUAAAAAUACGGAUGUCCUAAUCAGUCUCUGUCGCAAGACUGACCACUUUCACGGCAGACCUGCAAGAAAAAUAACAUCGCCACAUCAUCGCAACAAGUUCAAGGAAAAAAAGAUCACCUAAUUUUGGCAGGACCCUUAGAGAUUCUGACGAGUCUGAUGAAUCACUCUUGAAAAACCAGUAGGGGUAUUGCGUCCGCCAUUAAGCUGAAGAACAGCAUCGUGGGAAGAGGCUGGUUUCCCAUCCUGACACCAGACUCUAAAAAAGACCAGCGUCCACAUGCAGCGCGGCUCCCUGAAGGUCCGGGGCAGCCGGCAACGCUUCCUACCGUCACACCUCACUGUGCCAGAUGUUCAGGAGAAGUUAAUGGAACAGAAAGACAAAUAGUUAUGACAACACAUUUUUAAAAUUUGUUAUAUAAAAAGACACAUUAGAGAUAUAAGGCUCUUUUCAUUAUGACAGCAUAUAUUUGCAUGAGAUUUAUUAUAUGACCUAUUCAUGGAUUAAUUAUCCAUUCAAGGAUUUUCCAUAACUACAGGGUCACUGUGAGUGUGGGGCACAUUCCUGGAAGCCCAGAAGAUACUCAUUUAACAGUGAGCCCACGUACACUAAGGGCUUUCCUGGUAUGCUACCUUCAUUCAUUCACACACCCAUCAAUGUCAUAUACAUCAGUCAAAGUCUCUUCACGCUGAUUUGAGAUCUUGGCAGAUCUGUGUGUGAGGUUACCCCAUAUCUCACAUUCUAUUUCUGUCUCUGUUGGUAACAGAUGGACAGGAACCUAAGGGAGACGCUAUGGUGCUUCACACGUGAAUAACAGUGUGAGUGUCGCCCAUCGGCACUGUGCCUAACACCAAUGACCUCUGCAUCCCUGUUUGUUUGUCUGCAGUAUUUUGUUUUGGUUUGUUUCACUGCCUGGAAGGGCAACAUGCUAUGUAUAAAUUACUAAUUAGUUUUGCAGCGAAUAAAAAACAUCUGUAGACUGAA